UCCCUCUGUGGCCAGAGGUAGCCGGUUUUGUGGGAGCCGGGGAUGACCCACAGGCAGCCAUUUUCGAUGGUCGCGUCAUCCAGGGCAAUCCA
RNAcentral lists this transfer RNA (92 nucleotides) under bacterium. RNAcentral's name for it is "tRNA-His". RNAcentral also lists the same sequence under 1 other name. The record is from RNAcentral.